This 568-nucleotide long non-coding RNA is filed under the name Rattus norvegicus (Norway rat). Its description in RNAcentral is "long non-coding RNA NONRATT006435". Lineage: Eukaryota; Metazoa; Chordata; Mammalia; Rodentia; Muridae. The record is from RNAcentral.
CUGACAGACACAGCCAUGGCCAACAGGACCGAUGCCUCUGUCCCGUUCACCAGCUAUGAAUAUUACCUGGACUACAUAGACCUCAUUCCUGUGGACGAGAAGAAGCUGAAAGCCAACAAGCGUAAGUCGGAACCCAGGAAGGCGGCCAGGCAGAGGCUGGGGCUGAGCCCUAGACUCCAUUGUCAUUGCCUUGUGGUUGAGCCUGGCUACUUUUGUGGUGCUCCUCUUCUUCAUUCUGCUCUACAUGUCCUGGUCAGGCUCCCCACAGGUAAGGCAUAGUCCCCAAGCCUACCAAGUAUGUUCAUGGACUCACGGCUUCCACCUCCCCCUGUGUCUCCGGAGGGCCUCCCUGCAGACAACAGAUGAGCCAGGAAGUAGAGCUGGCAUUGACCAAUGGUUACAGCAGCAGAGUCCUUCUGCCUCGCCCGCUGGGCCCCUGGCUCUCCCCUAGGACCAGGUUCAGGAUGGGUGUCCUAGGGCAUCAGCUGACCUCAGGCACAAGCAGUGUGUAGUGGUGAACCUGGAGACAGAACUUCUCAACUGUAGAACUGAUGGUGCCCACGAGCAG